CUAAACACCGUGUUAUCUGAUUAGGCCUAUCCUAUCGUUGUAUCAAUAAAAGGUUUUAAAAAACCUUUUAUUGAUACAACGAUAGGAUAGGCCUAAUCAGAUAACACGGUGUUUAG
Molecule: non-coding RNA, 116 nt
Organism: Paramuricea clavata
Lineage: Eukaryota; Metazoa; Cnidaria; Anthozoa; Malacalcyonacea; Plexauridae
Source: the annotation of a GenBank genome assembly